RNAcentral lists this ribosomal RNA (253 nucleotides) under uncultured bacterium. RNAcentral describes it as "partial 16S ribosomal RNA". It matches the Rfam family "Bacterial small subunit ribosomal RNA", at positions 524 to 776 of the family's 1533-position model. The record is from RNAcentral. RNAcentral also lists the same sequence under 1 other name.
GACAGAGGGUGCAAACGUUGUUCGGAAUCACUGGGCGUAAAGCGCGUGUAGGCGGCCAGACAAGUCGGGUGUGAAAGCCCACGGCUCAACCGUGGAAGGGCACUCGAAACUGCUUGGCUAGAGUCCUGGAGAGGAAGGUGGAAUACUCGGUGUAGAGGUGAAAUUCGUAGAUAUCGAGUGGAACACCGGUGGCGAAGGCGGCCUUCUGGACAGUGACUGACGCUGAGACGCGAAAGCGUGGGGAGCAAACAGG